Carya illinoinensis is the source of this 575-nucleotide long non-coding RNA. RefSeq lists it as uncharacterized. The record is from RefSeq and is a predicted model, not a curated record. Lineage: Eukaryota; Viridiplantae; Streptophyta; Magnoliopsida; Fagales; Juglandaceae. The transcript is spliced from 3 exons.
GCAAAUCAGCGAAAAGUUACAGUUUCAGGAAGUCUUACCCUCAACUUCACCAUCUUCGUCUCGGGCGACAAUACUCUUUCCUAAGAAGCAUGGGAGGAAGAGCAAAUCAGCAUCAGCUUUGAUCAGAGUGACACGACCGGUAAGUAGGAGAGACGAUUCGCUAUGGGAGCAGCAUUAUGGUAUUCAAAGUGCCAUUCUACAUUUCAAGCGAUCCUAGAGAAUCUUCAUUAUCGUGUGGCUCAUUAUAUGAGAAAUCAAUGGAUUCAUUUUCUAAAGAGCCGCUGAGGAUUGCGGUCAACCAUAAGGAUAUGAUGUUUAGGAGGUGGGUUGCGCGCUGGACCAGCCAAUCUGCAGCAGAUGGAGGAACGAGAGAGCACUGGUGAAUCUUGGGGUGCGAAGAUGGGAUUUGGGAGAGUGGACAUGAAAAUGGAUCUGGGAAGUCGAUGGUUGUCUUCUUCUCUUCUCUUCGUGUUUUUCUUUUUUAUAAAAAUUAAGAAAGCUCCGACAGCAGCAGGCACAUCAGCUUUGUAUGUGGAUUUGUCUGCUUAAUCGUUUGUACUAGACAAACUGUAUAA